RNAcentral lists this long non-coding RNA (894 nucleotides) under Cavia porcellus (domestic guinea pig). RNAcentral's name for it is "lncRNA (ENSCPOG00000031839.1)". The record is from RNAcentral. Lineage: Eukaryota; Metazoa; Chordata; Mammalia; Rodentia; Caviidae.
GUUCAGAAGAGAAAGGCAUUUACUUCCCUUCUGGCUGCACUUGGAAUAACACUGAAGGCCUCACUUACUCCCAGCAGGGAGCCUGUCUGACCCCAGGGCUUUUGUACCUGCGGACCUCCCUCCCUGCAGCUCUCCCAGGCCCUGCUAGGCAUUCAGCAAAGGGGGCUUUCGGGCGCACAUCUGCAACACGUGACAUUCACAUGUGCUCUGGAGGAUGUUUGACUGAAGGAAUGAGGGACUCCAGUUGGAGGAUAUAAAUGACAGGAAGUGGGCAAACGGUGCCCCGCAGGCUUGUGGUCCCAGCUCCCUGAGCUCUCCUCCCUCCUCCAGCCUCCUGCCGCAGCUGAGGAGAAGCCGCUCUCUGUGCCCAGUCUGCAGGAGGGGGGAAAGCCCCGGACGGACGGCGUCCUUGAGCCCUGUCUGAGAAAUCGAUCCUGGAAUCUUCAGAUCCUGGGGGAAAUGUUCAGAGCCGCAGCCCUGCUCGAGAGGCCAAGGGCUCCUGUUUGCCGAAACACAUUGCAGUGCACAGAGGCGGCCAAGCUCGGUUCUGGAACAGACGGGAGCCGGGAAAUAAACAGAAAAGGCGGAGCCUCUGCUGGCCCCAAAGUCAGCCAUGGACCAUCACAGUGGAGGCCGGAGGAGAGCCCGCGUGCUGGCCAGAGCUGGGGAGAGAGCUGCGGCUCCCACGCAGGAAGGCCUGCAUCGGUGCGCGUCCCUGCACACACGAGGCUGCAGGAGCCUGGCUUUGUCCCAGGGCCAAACAUUCCCUUGGCUCCUCUUGGUUCUCCACAAAUGCUUGGGGGCAAUGUGGACCCUCACAUGGCUCAAGAUACCAAACUGUAUCAUCCAGGCACAGCGGCACACACCUGUGAUUCCAGCUACUUUGGAGGCUGA